RNAcentral lists this small RNA (477 nucleotides) under Pan troglodytes (chimpanzee). RNAcentral describes it as "retained intron". Lineage: Eukaryota; Metazoa; Chordata; Mammalia; Primates; Hominidae. The record is from RNAcentral.
AGAUCUCAUCUGUCUCUGGGACAGGAGGACCUGGGUUCUGCACUGGUGAGGCUGAGUGUGGGGAGCAGGCUCUGAGCCCCCAGCUCCCCGUGUCCCCUGCUCCCCAGGUGUACAGUGCCACCAACGUGGAGCUGGUGACACGCACACGCACGGAGCACCUCUCUGAUCAGGACAAGUCGAGGAGCAAAGGUAAACCCAGCUUUGAAGAGCAGCUGCGCCUGGCCCUGGAGUUGUCUUCACGGGAGCAGGAGGAGCGGGAGCGGCGCGGGCAGCAGGAGGAGGAGGACUUACAGCGGAUCCUGCAGCUGUCACUCACUGAGCACUGAGCCACAGCCCUGGGAGGGCUGGCCAGGCCACUCCCUGCCCGCUUUUGUAAUUUAUUUAUUUAUAAACUCUCUGCUGCUGAGCUUGGGGCCUGGAGCCCCAGGAAUGAGCAGGCAGGGGAGACUGAGAUGGAAAUAAAGAGACUGUCGCAGC